RNAcentral lists this long non-coding RNA (469 nucleotides) under Gallus gallus (chicken). Its description in RNAcentral is "long non-coding RNA NONGGAT011735". The record is from RNAcentral. Lineage: Eukaryota; Metazoa; Chordata; Aves; Galliformes; Phasianidae.
UAACCUGUCAACAGGAACACAGAGGGAAAAUCCUAAUGGCACUAAGUUACUCCUGACAAGUGGAUCAGCACCCACGGACAGCCACAUGCUGUGUUGCGAAGACCAGCUCUGGUGUCCCAAGAACAAGUGAGCUUGGCACAGCCUCGAGGAGCACUGUCAGCAGCUACAGCAAAGAACCUGGAGUCAAGACAGUAUGGAGAUAGCAAUCUUAAAAUAAUAAAAAUCAAGGAAGAAAUGCAGAUAAUCAAGUUUUGGGGAGAGUCACUGAAGGAGGACUGAAUAUUCAUAGCUGCUUUUCUCCACUUGAGAUGCUCAGAGAAGGGACUGGGUUUCCAGGAGAGCUCCUUUGGGGCUGCGUAGUGUCUGCCACAAACUUUUGGAAAAUGUGGGCCACAAAACACAAGGCAGCAUGUAUAGAGAGCUGUAAUUUGGGAAAGUGAAGACCUGGACCUACUUCUUCUGUCCCUCC